GCUUGCUUUUCUGCUGACGAGUGGCGCACGGGUGCGUAACGCGUAUACAAUCUACCUUUUGCUGUGGGAUAGCCCAGGGAAACUUGGAUUAAUACCGCAUAGUAUAUAAAAUCGGCAUCGUUUUUAUAUUAAAGGUUACGGCAAAAGAUGAGUAUGCGUCCUAUUAGCUAGAUGGUGUGGUAACGGCACACCAUGGCAACGAUAGGUAGGGGCCCUGAGAGGGGGAUCCCCCACACUGGUACUGAGACACGGACCAGACUCCUACGGGAGGCAGCAGUGAGGAAUAUUGGGCAAUGGAGGCAACUCUGACCCAGCCAUGCCGCGUGCAGGAAGACUGCCCUAUGGGUUGUAAACUGCUUUUAUACGGGAAGAAACACCGCUACGUGUAGCGGCUUGACGGUACCGUAAGAAUAAGGAUCGGCUAACUCCGUGCCAGCAGCCGCGGUAAUACGGAGGAUCCAAGCGUUAUCCGGAAUCAUUGGGUUUAAAGGGUCCGUAGGUGGAUGAUUAAGUC
RNAcentral lists this ribosomal RNA (514 nucleotides) under uncultured bacterium. RNAcentral's name for it is "bacterial SSU rRNA". It matches the Rfam family "Bacterial small subunit ribosomal RNA", at positions 78 to 589 of the family's 1533-position model. The record is from RNAcentral.